This is a non-coding RNA of Pelobates cultripes (western spadefoot toad), 233 nucleotides long. NCBI's taxonomy places the organism in Eukaryota, Metazoa, Chordata, Amphibia, Anura, Pelobatidae. The record is from the annotation of a GenBank genome assembly.
CACCUGUCCUCAGAGACCUUGAUACACACUGACAGAGCAGAAUAGAGACUGUUCUCCUACAUAGGGUCACUUGGCAGAUAUGGAUUGACACCAGUCUCAGAGACCAUGAUACACACUGACAGAGAGCAGAAUAGAGACUGUUCCCCCUACAUAGGGUCACUUGGCAGAUAUUGAUUGACACCUGUCCUCAGAGACCAUGAUACACACUGACACAGAGCAGAAUAGAGACUGAU